Molecule: ribosomal RNA, 300 nt
Filed under: uncultured Methanopyrus sp.
Lineage: Archaea; Methanobacteriati; Methanobacteriota; Methanopyri; Methanopyrales; Methanopyraceae
Description: bacterial SSU rRNA
Rfam family: Bacterial small subunit ribosomal RNA
Source: RNAcentral
GCGAACUGCGGGCUGGCAGGCGUGGUAAUACGAAGGGGGGAAUCGGUAAUCGGAAUGACUGGGCGUAAAGCGUGCGUAGGCGGUUCUUGAAGUCUGCUGUGAAAUCCCCGGGCUCAACCUGGGAAUGGCAGUGGAUACUGGGGAGCUAGAGUGUGAUAGAGGAUGGUGGAAUUCCCGGUGUAGCGGUGAAAUGCGUAGAGAUCGGGAGGAACAUCAGUGGCGAAGGCGGCCAUCUGGAUCAACACUGACGCUGAGGCACGAAAGCGUGGGGAGCAAACAGGAUUAGAUACCCCAGUAGUC